This 292-nucleotide long non-coding RNA is filed under the name Sus scrofa (pig). RNAcentral's name for it is "lncRNA (ENSSSCG00055003511.1)". The record is from RNAcentral. Lineage: Eukaryota; Metazoa; Chordata; Mammalia; Artiodactyla; Suidae.
CAAGCUGUCAAUGAAGAGAGCCUUUAGGAUCAGGUUGCCGGGAUCUAGGAUCAGGAUCAAAGAGGCUGGAGCAUGGGGAUGCUGGAUGCCUAGCAUGAGCCCAUUGGCUGUGUUUAACAAGUCCACUGUGACACAGGACUCUGGAGAGAGCAGGCUCUGUGGGACGUCUGCUGCUCAUCUUGGAAUUUACUGACUAUUCUCUCUGAGCUCUGAUUCCUUUUUAGUACAUCAAUGUAAAUAUUUUCCUUUCUUUGAUUUUCUAAUAAAUAUCUCAUUUAAGUAGAAUUAUGCA